RNAcentral lists this ribosomal RNA (495 nucleotides) under uncultured bacterium. RNAcentral describes it as "partial 16S ribosomal RNA". It matches the Rfam family "Bacterial small subunit ribosomal RNA", at positions 28 to 507 of the family's 1533-position model. The record is from RNAcentral.
GACGAACGCUGGCGGCGUGCCUAAUACAUGCAAGUAGAACGCUGAAGGAGGAGCUUGCUUCUCUGGAUGAGUUGCGAACGGGUGAGUAACGCGUAGGUAACCUGCCUGGUAGCGGGGGAUAACUAUUGGAAACGAUAGCUAAUACCGCAUAAUAGCAGUUGUUGCAUGACAACUGUUUGAAAGGUGCAAUUGCACCACUACCAGAUGGACCUGCGUUGUAUUAGCUAGUUGGUGGGGUAACGGCUCACCAAGGCGACGAUACAUAGCCGACCUGAGAGGGUGAUCGGCCACACUGGGACUGGGACACGGCCCAGACUCCUACGGGAGGCAGCAGUAGGGAAUCUUCGGCAAUGGACGGAAGUCUGACCGAGCAACGCCGCGUGAGUGAAGAGGGUUUUCGGAUCGUAAAGCUCUGUUGUAAGAGAAGAACGAGUGUGAGAGUGGAAAGUUCACACUGUGACGGUAUCUUACCAGAAAGGGACGGCUAACUACGUG